CCUACGGGAGGCAGCAGUGGGGAAUAUUGGACAAUGGGCGAAAGCCUGAUCCAGCAAUUCCGCGUGUGUGAAGAAGGCCUUCGGGUUGUAAAGCACUUUAGUGGGGGAAGAAACAGCUUGGCCACACCAAGCCUUGACGGUACCCCAAGAAUAAGCACCGGCUAACUCUGUGCCAGCAGCCGCGGUAAUACAGAGGGUGCAAGCGUUAAUCGGAUUUACUGGGCGUAAAGGGUGCGUAGGUGGCUAUUUAAGUCGGAUGUGAAAGCCCGGGGCUCAACCUCGGAAUUGCAUUCGAUACUGAGUGGCUAGAGUUCGGUAGAGGGCGGCGGAAUUUCCGGUGUAGCGGUGAAAUGCGUAGAUAUCGGAAGGAACAUCAAUGGCGAAGGCAGCCGCCUGGGCCUGGACUGACACUGAGGCACGAAAGCGUGGGUAGCAAACAGGAUUAGAUACCCUGGUAGUCCACGCCGUAAACGAUGAGAACUUGACGUUGGUUCGUUUUACGAAUCGGUGUCGCNGCUACGACGAUAAGUUACUCCGUCCGUCGGGGUAGGUACGGGCCGGCCGAACGGUUAGGUAAACGUUAAAACGUUAAGUAAGUUAGUACGGACGUGUAGACGUCGCCGACGGACGACGACGAGGGAGGUAGG
RNAcentral lists this ribosomal RNA (647 nucleotides) under uncultured bacterium. RNAcentral's name for it is "bacterial SSU rRNA". The stretch from base 1 to 539 matches the Rfam family "Bacterial small subunit ribosomal RNA", at positions 338 to 873 of the family's 1533-position model. The record is from RNAcentral.